AUGAUUGUGCUCAAACUGGAUUUCAGAAAGGCUUUUGACAGUGUGAGUUGGGACGCUCUAAACCAAAUCAUGGACUCAAGGGGCUUCGGCACCAGAUGGAGAUGUUGGAUCAACUGUUUGCUUUCCUCCAGCUCCUCAAGUGUUUUGAUCAAUGGACAUAUUGGGGAACAGAUU
Molecule: ribosomal RNA, 174 nt
Filed under: Triticum aestivum (bread wheat)
Lineage: Eukaryota; Viridiplantae; Streptophyta; Magnoliopsida; Poales; Poaceae
Description: partial small subunit ribosomal RNA
Source: RNAcentral